ACUUCCAGCAAUUUACUAUAUAUAACUUGAAGUCCUAGAAGUGUUGUUUUGAAACUGCGCUCAGGAAGCACUGCGUAGAGAAGACCAACGUUGGUUCUCAGCUCAGUCACAGGAGCUUGUUCUUCUCGAGAAAUGAAACUAAUGAAUAGAAAACGACAGCACCUCUGUUUACAGGUAUCCCUAGGUACGAAAUUCAAACAGAGACUACAAGGAGGAUUCUCUCCAAUACUGAUUAAGGAAAAAAGCUUUCUUGAACUGGGAGCUAGAAACAUGUGGUCAUGGAGAUGCAAAAGAUGGAGGUGCUUUGCAAGAGAAUUGUCCUCCAAGCAGGAGCCAGGGCUGUGCAACACAGACCAAGUGGAACAUAUCCUUCAUGUAGCACCAUGGAACAUCAACAUAUGUUGAGGAGGCAGAGAGCGAUGAAUCAUGGAACCAGAGGAAGGAAAAUACAGCGCUGUUGGUAACAGUGAGAUCAUCUUUUUUGGGCGCACACAAAUUACUCAUUGCAGACAUCUCUUAAGCUUUCAUCUCAGUUUGUAAGAUUCAGUCUGUACAUCUAGACUACAGAAUAUCCAAUUCUGCAACAUUUUAGUCCUUCUGGAGUCCUUCUGGAGAACUUGCAAUAGAAUUAGUAAUUGGCAGAGAAAAGCAGUUGCUGUUCAGUUAGCCUAAGGAUGCGUGGAAAGGGCACAAAUAAUGGAGUAUUUAAACAGAUAGCAAGGAUUAUGGCAGUCUUGGGUCAAUAGAAACUGUAACUUUUUCAUGUAUUCCUAAAAGCGUGUUUAAUUCUAUAUUAUGGUCUAGAGUUAUUGUCUAAAUCCAUGUUUCAUUAUAAAUAAAUAAAUAAAUAAAUCGACUAUCA
This 862-nucleotide long non-coding RNA is filed under the name Anser brachyrhynchus (Pink-footed goose). RNAcentral describes it as "lncRNA (ENSABRG00000014495.1)". Lineage: Eukaryota; Metazoa; Chordata; Aves; Anseriformes; Anatidae. The record is from RNAcentral.